UCUACGGGGGGCUGCAGUGGGGAAUAUUGGACAAUGGGCGAAAGCCUGAUCCAGCCAUGCCGCGUGUGUGAAGAAGGCCUUCGGGUUGUAAAGCACUUUCAGUGGGGAAGAAAGCCUUGGGGCUAAUACCCUCGAGGAAGGACAUCACCCACAGAAGAAGCACCGGCUAACUCCGUGCCAGCAGCCGCGGUAAUACGGAGGGUGCGAGCGUUAAUCGGAAUUACUGGGCGUAAAGCGCGCGUAGGCGGUCUGAUAAGCCGGUUGUGAAAGCCCCGGGCUCAACCUGGGAACGGCAUCCGGAACUGUCAGGCUAGAGUGCAGGAGAGGAAGGUAGAAUUCCCGGUGUAGCGGUGAAAUGCGUAGAGAUCGGGAGGAAUACCAGUGGCGAAGGCGGCCUUCUGGACUGACACUGACGCUGAGGUGCGAAAGCGUGGGUAGCAAACAGGAUUAGAUACCCGAGUAGUC
This 465-nucleotide ribosomal RNA is filed under the name Vreelandella stevensii. Its description in RNAcentral is "partial 16S ribosomal RNA". It matches the Rfam family "Bacterial small subunit ribosomal RNA", at positions 338 to 795 of the family's 1533-position model. Lineage: Bacteria; Pseudomonadati; Pseudomonadota; Gammaproteobacteria; Oceanospirillales; Halomonadaceae. The record is from RNAcentral.